AGCAGCCGCGGUAAUUCCAGCUCCAAUAGCGUAUAUUAAAGUUGUUGCAGUUAAAAAGCUCGUAGUUGAAUUUCGGGAUUAAUAUGCUGGUCGUGCCAUUGGUACGUACUAGUAUUAUUGAUUUCUCCCUUCUGAUAAAUCAUGAUGUCAUUAAUUUGAUGUCAUGAGGAAUCAGGACUGUUACUUUGAAAAAAUUAGAGUGUUUAAAGCAGGCUCGCGCUUGAAUACAUUAGCAUGGAAUAAUGAAAUAGGACGUUUGAUUCUAUUUUGUUGGUUUCUAGGAUUGACGUAAUGAUUAAUAGGGAUAGUUGGGGGCAUUAGUAUUCAAUUGUCAGAGGUGAAAUUCUUGGAUUUAUUGAAGACUAACUACUGCGAAAGCAUUUGCCAAGGAUGUUUUCAUUAAUCAAGAACGAAAGUUAGGGGAUCGAAGACGAUCAGAU
RNAcentral lists this ribosomal RNA (440 nucleotides) under uncultured Glomeromycotina. RNAcentral describes it as "SSU rRNA". It matches the Rfam family "Eukaryotic small subunit ribosomal RNA", at positions 569 to 1013 of the family's 1831-position model. Lineage: Eukaryota; Fungi; Glomeromycota. The record is from RNAcentral.